UACGGAGGUGGCGAGCGUUUGUCCGAAGUUACUGGGCGUAAAGCGCGCGUAGGCGGGCCGUUAAGUGGGAGGUGAAAGGCUGGGGGCUCAACCCCAUGCAGUGCCUCCCAUACUGGCGGUCUUGAGGGCGGUAGGGAGAAGUGGAAUGGCUGGUGUAGCGGUGAAAUGCGUAGAUAUCAGGAGGAACACCGGUGGCGAAGGCGGGUCUCUGGGCCGUAACUGACGCUGAGGAGCGAAAGCGUGGGGAGCGAACAGG
RNAcentral lists this ribosomal RNA (256 nucleotides) under uncultured bacterium. RNAcentral's name for it is "partial 16S ribosomal RNA". It matches the Rfam family "Bacterial small subunit ribosomal RNA", at positions 524 to 776 of the family's 1533-position model. The record is from RNAcentral.